Long non-coding RNA from Tyto alba (common barn owl), 1641 nucleotides. RefSeq lists it as uncharacterized. The transcript is spliced from 2 exons. The record is from RefSeq and is a predicted model, not a curated record. NCBI's taxonomy places the organism in Eukaryota, Metazoa, Chordata, Aves, Strigiformes, Tytonidae.
GCUCGGCUGGGCUGGGCUCGGCACGGCACGGCUGGGCUCGGCUCGGCUCGGCUCGGCGCGGGGGGUGCAGCCCGCCCGGGGACACCCGGCUCGGCACGGCCCGGUGACCCGCAGCCCGGCCGGCUCCUCAGCCCGGCCCCGGGAGCUCCGGCCCGGGCAGCGCCCGGGGUUCGGCCGGGCCGCGGGGCACAAGUCCCGGCGGACGCCCCGCGGCUCCCCCUGCCCCGCGCUCCGGGGGCGCAGCGGUGCCCAGGCCCCGCGCUGCCGCCUCUGCUGAAUCCUUUUGUUUCCGACGAUUCUCCCUAUCGCACCCUGGGAGCAGAAGAAGGACCCUGCUCUGCCAGCAGCAGCAUCGCCCGACGCCGCGGCCUCUGCCUGUGCCUCGGAUCUCGGCUGUUGUUAAAUCAGCGGCUCUUCAGGGCAGCUCCUUGGCAGCGAGGCCGCCCGCCGAGCUCGGCCGUGCCCCCCAGCACAGCCCUGCGCUGGGCACCGGGUCACGGGGGGGCUGGGGAUGCUGCGCCCCGGCUGCGGGCGGGCAAGGCGGCGUGUCCUGGCAUCCCCGGGCCGGUACCCGAGGGCAGCGGGUCGGUGACCUCCCGCCGGGUGGGGAUCACCGCGCUGGGCACCAGCGCCUCGGCAUCCCCCUCCCCAGCCCACCCCGCGUCUCUCGCCGUUUAAUGGUUACGAAGGAAAUUUUUACAAAAUAAACCAAGUGUAACGCAUUCGGCGUCGGAGCCUGCGGUAGGCCGGUGCCAGAGCCGGGGAUGGGAACGGCCACAUUCAUGUUUAUGGCUUGUUAGUGCGGAUGUCCAAUUAUGAUGUUUUCUACUCCAGCCUUAACCACUUCGCUGCCAGGGAGAGCGAGCACGGGAGGAGGGGCGGCGCGGGAAGACCCGAGGCGGGAGGUGAAAACCGGUGUCGCCCGGUAUUGGCUUUUCCACCUUCUCCAGGCUGAUCGGUGGAGCCAGAGGCUGAAGGGCGAGAGCGGAGCCCCCGGCCGGGAGGGCAGCGGGCUGCGAGCCCCCCGGUCGGCCGCGGGGCCUGCUCUGCGCUCACUUCCAGCUCAAUGGCUGCUGCUCCUCCCUGAAGCUAAAAUAAAAUCCUGACCAUUUAAGGUGAACGGGAGACUUGCCGUGGACCUCAGUGGAGCGGGCUUUUAACCCCUUCCCAUUGCUGGGCUUUGUUUACUCCUUGCUCUCCCUUCGGCUUCGAGCUAGACCAGCUCAAAGCCAUUCAGGAGAGCACAUCCCCCGGGAGCGAGGCGCCUGCCCUCCGCCUGGAGAGCUCGCAGCAGACACGAACUGGCCAGGCGUGUUCACUACUUCUGGUCCCUGCAAACCCCUUCGCACGGACGCAGCUCUGCCCAUGCAGAAGACCCGGGGCUGGCUGGCAGGCUGCGCUUGCGGGGCCAGGGUCCCGCCAGGUGCCCCCGCAGCCCGAGCUGCAGGGCCCGAGAAGAGCCGUGCCCCGGCUGUGAGGGCCCCGCGCCGCCCAGCCUGCCCGCGUACCAGGCCGUGACGCUUCCAAGGGCAUCGCCAACGGUGCCCUGACCUCAUCUGUCGUCAUUUCCUAAGGCGAGGCUCCGCAAGAACACCAGAGCUGCUGUCAAACCCAGGAAUAAACUACAUUUAAGGCACCGUA